Molecule: long non-coding RNA, 1478 nt
Filed under: Sus scrofa (pig)
Lineage: Eukaryota; Metazoa; Chordata; Mammalia; Artiodactyla; Suidae
Description: lncRNA (ENSSSCG00055019701.1)
Source: RNAcentral
CACUGUACAGCAAGGGGGUCAGAUUAUCCUUAGAUGUAUACAUUGCAAUUACAGUUUUUUCCCCCACCCUUUCUUCUGUUGCAACAUGAGUAUCUAGACAUAGUUCUCAAUGCUAUUCAGCAGGAUCUCCUUGUAAAUGACUUCUUUUUUAAAUUAAAAAAUUGAAAAAUUGUACUAUUUUGAUUUCAAAUAUGUUUUGGUGAACAGAAUAUUUGAAAAGAUUUGAAUUUUGAAUACAAUUUUUAAACCUUAUUUUUUUUUUAAUUUUUGAUUUUGACUUUUUUUGUCUUUAGAGGGCUGCAGCCAAGGCAUAUGGAGGUUCCCAGACUAGGGGUAGAAGCGGAGCUGUAGCUGUUGCCUACACUACAGCCAUAGCAACGCCAGAUAUGAGCCACAUCUGCUAACUACACCACAGCUUACGUCAACACCGCAUCCUUAACCCACUGUGCCAGGCCAGGGAUCGAACCUGCGUCCUCAUGGGUACUAGUCAGAUUCGUUUCCACUGGGCCACAAGGGCAACUCCUGACCUUUUUUUUUGGCCUUGCCCAUAGCAUACAGAAAUUCCUGUCCCAGGGAUUGAACUCACACCAUAACUGUUAAUGAGAGCCACGGCAGUGACAAAACUGGAUCCUGAACUAACUCGCUGAGCUGCUGUGGCUGUCGUGUAGGCAGCCGCUGCAGCUCUGAUUCGACCCCUCCCUGUCCUGGGAACUUACAUAUGCCAUGGGUGUGGCCCUAAACACACACACACACACAAACCCAAUUCGUGAAGGAAUUCCUGACUUUUUAUUUUUUUAAUAUUUAUUUAUUUUUAUUUAUUUAUUUAUUUAUUUUUUGUCUUUUUGAAAGGGCCGUUCCUGUGGCACAUGGAGAUUCCCAGGCUAGGGGUCCAAUCUGAGCUAUAGCCUCUGGCCUACGCCAGAGCCACAGCAACUCGGGAUCCAAGCCAUGUCUGUGACCUACACCACAGCUCAUGGCAAUGCCAGAUCCUUAACCCACUGAGCAAGGCUAGGGAUCGAACCCACAACCUCAUGGUUCCUAGUCAGAUUCGUUAACCACUGAGCCACAACGGGAACUCCCUGACUUUUAUUUUUGAAUUUCAUUGUAGUUGGUUUACAAUGUUCUGUUAAUUUCUGCUGCACAGCAAAGUGAUUAGGUUAUAUACACACAUAUAUAAACCUUAUUUUUAUAAUUCUCAGAGUUCCUGAACCAGUCACAAGUACUAAAAUUGAAACUGUGAUUGAAAAACUUCCACAGGAGUUCCCUUUGUGGCUCAGUGGUUAACAAAUCCUACUGCUAUCCAUGAGGGCACAGGUUCCAUCCCUGGCCUCGAUCAGUGGGUUAAGGAUCUGGCGUUGCCGUGAGCUGUGGUAUAGAUUGCAGACGCCGCUUGGAUCUAGCGUUGCUGUGACUGUGGUGUAGGCUGAUUCGACCCCCAGCCUGAGAGCUUCCAUAUGCUGCAAGUGCAGCCCUAAAAA